RNAcentral lists this ribosomal RNA (798 nucleotides) under uncultured bacterium. Its description in RNAcentral is "partial 16S ribosomal RNA". It matches the Rfam family "Bacterial small subunit ribosomal RNA", at positions 483 to 1280 of the family's 1533-position model. The record is from RNAcentral.
UGAAUAAGGAUCGGCUAACUCCGUGCCAGCAGCCGCGGUAAUACGGAGGAUCCGAGCUUUUCCCCGAAUCAUUGGGGGGAAAGGGUCCGUAGGCGGGACAAUCAGUCAGUGGUGAAAGUUUGUGGCUCAACCAUAAAAUUGCCAUUGAUACUGUUGUUCUUGAGUAAUUGUGAAGUGGUUAGAAUGAGUAGUGUAGCGGUGAAAUGCAUAGAUAUUACUCAGAAUACCGAUUGCGAAGGCAGAUCACUAACAAUGUACUGACGCUGAUGGACGAAAGCGUAGGUAGCGAACAGGAUUAGAUACCCUGGUAGUCUACGCCGUAAACGAUGGUUACUAGCUGUUCGGCUCGAUUGAGGGCUGAGUGGCUAAGCGAAAGUGAUAUUUUUUUUUUUCUGGGGAGUACGUUCGCAAGAAUGAAACUCAAAGGAAUUGACGGGGGCCCGCCCAAGCGGUGGAGCAUGUGGUUGGGGGGGGGGAUACGCGAGGAACCUCCCCCCCCCUUAAAUGCAGUACGACAGAUUGGGAAACCGAUUUUUCUUCGGACGUAUUGCAAGGUGCUGCAUGGUUGUCGUCAGCUCGUGCCGUGAGGUGUCAGGUUAAGUCCUAUAACGAGCGCAACCCCUGUGGUUAGUUGCCAGCGAGUCAAGUCGGGAACUCUAGCCAGACUGCCGGUGCAAACCGUGAGGAAGGUGGGGGAUGACGUCAAAUCAUCACGGCCCUUACGUCCUGGGCUACACACGUGCUACAAUGGCGCAUACAAUGAGCAGCCACUACGCNAGUAGGCGCUAAUCUAUAAAG